GGGGGCGGGGGGGGCUAUACAUGCAGUCGAACGCUUCUUUUUCCACCGGAGCUUGCUGCCACGCGGAAAGAAGAGGAGUGGCGAACGGGUGAGUAACACGUGGGUAACCUGCCCAUCAGAAGGGGAUAACACUUGGAAACAGGUGCUAAUACCGUAUAACAAUCGAAACCGCAUGGUUUUGAUUUGAAAGGCGCUUUCGGGUGUCGCUGAUGGAUGGACCCGCGGUGCAUUAGCUAGUUGGUGAGGUAACGGCUCACCAAGGCGACGAUGCAUAGCCGACCUGAGAGGGUGAUCGGCCACAUUGGGACUGAGACACGGCCCAAACUCCUACGGGAGGCAGCAGUAGGGAAUCUUCGGCAAUGGACGAAAGUCUGACCGAGCAACGCCGCGUGAGUGAAGAAGGUUUUCGGAUCGUAAAACUCUGUUGUUAGAGAAGAACAAGGAUGAGAGUAACUGUUCAUCCCUUGACGGUAUCUAACCAGAAAGCCACGGCUAACUACGUGCCAGCAGCCGCGGUAAUACGUAGGUGGCAAGCGUUGUCCGGAUUUAUUGGGCGUAAAGCGAGCGCAGGCGGUUUCUUAAGUCUGAUGUGAAAGCCCCCGGCUCAACCGGGGAGGGUCAUUGGAAACUGGGAGACUUGAGUGCAGAAGAGGAGAGUGGAAUUCCAUGUGUAGCGGUGAAAUGCGUAGAUAUAUGGAGGAACACCAGUGGCGAAGGCGGCUCUCUGGUCUGUAACUGACGCUGAGGCUCGAAAGCGUGGGGAGCAAACAGGAUUAGAUACCCUGGUAGUCCACGCCGUAAACGAUGAGUGCUAAGUGUUGGAGGGUUUCCGCCCUUCAGUGCUGCAGCUAACGCAUUAAGCACUCCGCCUGGGGAGUACGACCGCAAGGUUGAAACUCAAAGGAAUUGACGGGGGCCCGCACAAGCGGUGGAGCAUGUGGUUUAAUUCGAAGCAACGCGAAAAACCUUACCAGGUCUUGACAUCCUUUGACCACUCUAGAGAUAGAGCUUCCCCUUCGGGGGCAAAGUGACAGGUGGUGCAUGGUUGUCGUCAGCUCCUGUCCUGAAAAUGUUGGUUUAAUUCCCGCAACGAGCGCAACCCUUAUUGUAAGUUGCCAUCAUUUAAUUGGGCACUCUAACAAAACUGCCCGUGACAAACCCGAAGAAAGUGGGGAUGACGUCAAAUCAUCAUGCCCCUUAUGACCUGGGCUACCCCCUUCCUACAAUGGGAAAUAAAACGAAUCCCAAAAUCCCCGAGGUAAGCUAAUCCCCUAAAACUUCCCCCAGUUCGGAUUUGAAGCUUCCACUUCCCCUACAUGAACGCGAAUAUCUUAAAAUUCCGGAAUAAACAACCCCCCCGUGAAAACCUGUCCCCGGCCCUUUGCAACACAGGCCAGUCACCCACGCAAGAUUUAUUACCCCCGAAAUUUGGGAAGAGACCUUUUUUGACCCACCCCCUUAAAUGAAGGAAAAUUAAUGGGGGGGAAGGAGUUAAACAAGGGAAAGGAUAAGGAAGGGAAGGGAAGGAGAGAAAGGGAAAAA
This 1542-nucleotide ribosomal RNA is filed under the name Enterococcus faecalis. RNAcentral describes it as "bacterial SSU rRNA". It matches the Rfam family "Bacterial small subunit ribosomal RNA". Lineage: Bacteria; Bacillati; Bacillota; Bacilli; Lactobacillales; Enterococcaceae. The record is from RNAcentral.